AUUGAACGCUGGCGGCAGGCCUAACACAUGCAAGUCGAGCGGAUGAAGGGAGCUUGCUCCUGGAUUCAGCGGCGGACGGGUGAGUAAUGCCUAGGAAUCUGCCUGGUAGUGGGGGAUAACGUCCGGAAACGGGCGCUAAUACCGCAUACGUCCCGAGGGAGAAAGUGGGGGAUCUUCGGACCUCACGCUAUCAGAUGAGCCUAGGUCGGAUUAGCUAGUUGGUGGGGUAAAGGCCUACCAAGGCGACGAUCCGUAACUGGUCUGAGAGGAUGAUCAGUCACACUGGAACUGAGACACGGUCCAGACUCCUACGGGAGGCAGCAGUGGGGAAUAUUGGACAAUGGGCGAAAGCCUGAUCCAGCCAUGCCGCGUGUGUGAAGAAGGUCUUCGGAUUGUAUAGCACUUUAAGUUGGGAGGAAGGGCAGUAAGUUAAUACCUUGCUGUUUUGACGUUACCAACAGAAUAAGCACCGGCUAACUUCGUG
This 484-nucleotide ribosomal RNA is filed under the name uncultured bacterium. Its description in RNAcentral is "partial 16S ribosomal RNA". It matches the Rfam family "Bacterial small subunit ribosomal RNA", at positions 30 to 507 of the family's 1533-position model. The record is from RNAcentral.